AUAUGUAAAUUUAAAGUAAUUUAUAAUUUUUAAAAAGGAAUUCGACAAAAGAAUUUUUUACCUGUUUAAUAAAAACAUCUCUUUUUGAUAAUAAUUUAAAGUAGGGCCUGCCCACUGAAUUUUGAAGGGCCGCAGUAUUUUGACUGUGCAAAGGUAGCAUAAUCAUUAGUUUUUUAAUUGAAAGCUUGUAUGAAUGGUUUGAUAAAAAAAUAAUUGUCUCUUUAAAAAAAGUAGAAUUUUAUUUUUAAGUUAAAAAGCUUAAAUAAAUUUAAAAGACGAGAAGACCCUAUAGAGUUUUAUUUUUAAAGAUUUUAAUAAUUUUAGUAUUUAAAUUUAAUAAAAUUUUAAAAAAUUUGAUUGGGGUGAUUGAAAAAUUUAAUUAACUUUUUUUUUAAUUAAACAUUAAUAAAUGAAAAAUUGAUCCUUUAUAAGAUUAAAAGAUUAAAUUACCUUAGGGAUAACAGCGUAAUUUUUUUUAAAGUUCUUAUUGAAAAAAAAGAUUGCGACCUCGAUGUUGGAUUAAAAUUUAAUUUUGGUGUAGAAGCUAAAAGGUUUAGGUCUGUUCGACCUUUAAAAUUUUACAUGAUCUGAGUUUAAACCGGUGUGAGCCAGGUUGGUUUCUAUCUUUAAAAUAUGAAUAUAUUAUAGUACGAAAGGACCUAAUAUAAAUUUAAAAAAUUUAAAUUGAAUA
RNAcentral lists this ribosomal RNA (691 nucleotides) under Cucujoidea sp. 10 KM-2017. RNAcentral's name for it is "partial 16S ribosomal RNA". It matches the Rfam family "Bacterial large subunit ribosomal RNA", at positions 1725 to 2766 of the family's 2925-position model. Lineage: Eukaryota; Metazoa; Arthropoda; Insecta; Coleoptera. The record is from RNAcentral.